RNAcentral lists this ribosomal RNA (396 nucleotides) under Triticum aestivum (bread wheat). RNAcentral describes it as "partial small subunit ribosomal RNA". Lineage: Eukaryota; Viridiplantae; Streptophyta; Magnoliopsida; Poales; Poaceae. The record is from RNAcentral.
AUGAUGAAUAUCAUCCAACUCCUCAUCGACCAGCGAGCCUACGAAGGAAUUACUCACUCCUGGCGGGGAGCAUCAUGGAAUUGGCGAUGGAGAUGGUUUGGUGAUGACGAAGAAGGAAGAUCCCCCUCUCCGGAGCCCCAAACGGACUCCAGAUCUGCCCUCCCGAGGAAGAAUAGGGCUUGGCGGCGGCUCCGUCUCGUGGAUCGCGAUAAUUCUUUCUCCCUGAUUUUUUCUCUGAAAAUAGGAAUUUAUAGCAUCGGUUUUAGGGUCAGCGGGGCCACCAGGUGGGUACAACCCACCUUGGCGCGUCAGGAGAGGGGGGCGCGCCCUGGUGGAUUGUGCCCACCCAGGUGCCCCUCUCCGGCAGGUCUUGGCUCCAGAAAUUCUUAUUAUUGA